UACGGAGGGUGCAAGCGUUGUUCGGAAUCAUUGGGCGUAAAGCGCGUGUAGGCGGCUUGGCAAGUCAGUUGUGAAAGCCCGGGGCCCAACCCCGGAACUGCAUCUGAAACUGCUUGGCUCGAGUCCCGGAGAGGAAGGCAGAAUUCCCGGUGUAGGGGUGAAAUCCGUAGAUAUCGGGAGGAACACCGGUGGCGAAGGCGGAUCUCUGGGCCUUACCUGACGCUCAGGCGCGAAAGCUAGGGGAGCGAACAGG
Molecule: ribosomal RNA, 253 nt
Filed under: uncultured bacterium
Lineage: Bacteria
Description: partial 16S ribosomal RNA
Rfam family: Bacterial small subunit ribosomal RNA
Source: RNAcentral